This 1713-nucleotide ribosomal RNA is filed under the name Campylobacter jejuni. RNAcentral's name for it is "partial 23S ribosomal RNA". It matches the Rfam family "Bacterial large subunit ribosomal RNA", at positions 1 to 1732 of the family's 2925-position model. Lineage: Bacteria; Pseudomonadati; Campylobacterota; Epsilonproteobacteria; Campylobacterales; Campylobacteraceae. The record is from RNAcentral.
AGGUAAGCUACUAAGAGCGAAUGGUGGAUGCCUUGACUGGUAAAGGCGAUGAAGGACGUACUAGACUGCGAUAAGCUACGGGGAGCUGUCAAGAAGCUUUGAUCCGUAGAUUUCCGAAUGGGGCAACCCAAUGUAUAGAGAUAUACAUUACCUAUAUAGGAGCGAACGAGGGGAAUUGAAACAUCUUAGUACCCUCAGGAAAAGAAAUCAAUAGAGAUUGCGUCAGUAGCGGCGAGCGAAAGCGCAAGAGGGCAAACCCAGUGCUUGCACUGGGGGUUGUAGGACUGCAAUGUGCAAGAGGUAAGUUUAGCAGAACAUUCUGGAAAGUAUAACCAUAGAGGGUGAUAGUCCCGUAUGCGAAAAACAAACCUUAGCUAGCAGUAUCCUGAGUAGGGCGGGACACGAGGAAUCCUGUCUGAAUCCGGGUCGACCACGAUCCAACCCUAAAUACUAAUACCAGAUCGAUAGUGCACAAGUACCGUGAGGGAAAGGUGAAAAGAACUGAGGUGAUCAGAGUGAAAUAGAACCUGAAACCAUUUGCUUACAAUCAUUCAGAGCCCUAUGUAGCAAUACAGGGUGAUGGACUGCCUUUUGCAUAAUGAGCCUGCGAGUUGUGGUGUCUGGCAAGGUUAAGCAAACGCGAAGCCGUAGCGAAAGCGAGUCUGAAUAGGGCGCUUAGUCAGAUGCUGCAGACCCGAAACGAAGUGAUCUAUCCAUGAGCAAGUUGAAGCUAGUGUAAGAACUAGUGGAGGACUGAACCCAUAGGCGUUGAAAAGCCCCGGGAUGACUUGUGGAUAGGGGUGAAAGGCCAAUCAAACUUCGUGAUAGCUGGUUCUCUCCGAAAUAUAUUUAGGUAUAGCGUUGUGUCGUAAUAUAAGGGGGUAGAGCACUGAAUGGGCUAGGGCAUACACCAAUGUACCAAACCCUAUCAAACUCCGAAUACCUUAUAUGUAAUCACAGCAGUCAGGCGGCGAGUGAUAAAAUCCGUCGUCAAGAGGGAAACAACCCAGACUACCAGCUAAGGUCCCUAAGUCUUACUUAAGUGGAAAACGAUGUGAAGUUACUUAAACAACCAGGAGGUUGGCUUAGAAGCAGCCAUCCUUUAAAGAAAGCGUAAUAGCUCACUGGUCUAGUGAUUUUGCGCGGAAAAUAUAACGGGGCUAAAGUAAGUACCGAAGCUGUAGACUUAGUUUACUAAGUGGUAGGAGAGCGUUCUAUUUGCGUCGAAGGUAUACCGGUAAGGAGUGCUGGAGCGAAUAGAAGUGAGCAUGCAGGCAUGAGUAGCGAUAAUUAAUGUGAGAAUCAUUAACGCCGUAAACCCAAGGUUUCCUACGCGAUGCUCGUCAUCGUAGGGUUAGUCGGGUCCUAAGUCGAGUCCGAAAGGGGUAGACGAUGGCAAAUUGGUUAAUAUUCCAAUACCAACAUUAGUGUGCGAUGGAAGGACGCUUAGGGCUAAGGGGGCUAGCGGAUGGAAGUGCUAGUCUAAGGUCGUAGGAGGUUGUACAGGCAAAUCCGUAUAACAAUACUCCGAGAACUGAAAGGCUUUUUGAAGUCUUCGGAUGGAUAGAAGAACCCCUGAUGCCGUCGAGCCAAGAAAAGUUUCUAAGUUUAGCUAAUGUUGCCCGUACCGUAAACCGACACAGGUGGGUGGGAUGAGUAUUCUAAGGCGCGUGGAAGAACUCUCUUUAAGGAACUCUGCAAAAUAGCACCGUA